Molecule: long non-coding RNA, 522 nt
Organism: Cyprinodon tularosa
Lineage: Eukaryota; Metazoa; Chordata; Actinopteri; Cyprinodontiformes; Cyprinodontidae
Exons: 3
Source: RefSeq, a predicted model, not a curated record
GUUUGUAGGUGAAGGAGGUGGAAGAUGAUUGUAACGAUCUCAAGUCGAAGACCUACCUGGUGAUUUGAUUCAGGUCCAUUCCGCUCUGACUCUGCGUAGGAGGCAAAGGAAAAAGUGAUAAAUCUCAUCUUCAGCACAGCUCACACGGCAGUUUAUACCAAUACUUUCCAAUGCCAUGCAUGUUACACAUCUGUACUAAAGGAGUAAUUAUUUAUCCAAAAUAAGCAAAACAAAUCCUACCUGUGCCUUCCAUCGGUGAGUCAGCCCCGACUUUCUCAACCUCUGCUGGCUUUGACAUCCUGAUAUCUGUGGCAGAAACGACAGAAGUCAAAUGUGUCACGGAAGAAGUUCAAGAAGCAAAAGAUGAGGGAAGGGACGGAGAAAAAAGGAACACCAAGGCCACUAAACUGUGGCCACUCACUGCGACCUGCUGGUCAGCAGCAGCUGUGACAUCACCGGCCACUGCUCUCCGCUUGGAUUGGACACUCGGCCACGUUGCCAGGCAACAGCAGCAAAAGGUCU